UGUUGUGGUAAUGUUAUUUCAACCUGCUAGCUAGCAGAUAGAUGAUGCUAAUCUUAGCUGUGGUAAUGUCAUUUCUACCUGCUAGCGAGCUAAAUCUGGUUAAAACAUUAGGUAACAAAGUAAGAUUAAUUACUGCAGAUUAAUCACUGUAUUUGAGUGAUUGUUAAUGGUUAGUGGUUAUCUUUCAAAUGAUGCCUGUGAGGCACUUGACGUUGAGACUGGUUGACUUCCAGGCUGCUUUGGAAUAAGGAUACCUCUGAGGCAGCCACCUGUCUUUGGAUAACUCUGAGGCAUCAUAGGUAGUGUUGACUACUUUAUAUCAAUAAAUAACUACUUUAAAGACUUUAAAGACUACUUUAUAUCAAUAAAGAACUUCAGAAAGCCAGCUCCAAACUAUUACACCCCAGUGUCAAUAAGUGUUUCAUUGUCACAUUGGUAUGUGCAUCAAAUCUGAAUUUAAUACUGUGUUCGUGUCAUGAUAUGUCUUUCCCAUUUUUGUUAAGGCGAAGCCAAGGACCUGCUCCUCCGUCGGUGCUCUGGCUGCCAGGAGCAUCGAAUUUAAAGAAGUGGCCAUGCUGCCGGCAUCAGACCCCACUGUGGCCACAGGGAGAGCCACGGAGUUCAAACAACAGCUCCAGCACCUCGCCAACCAGGUGAGGUCAAAUGAUCAAUUUGACCUCCUCACGCACACCUUGGGGCCAGGAAUGGUAGAGGUGGUGGUGGAUAUUUUUAAAAAGUGUGUUGACACACACAUUGAAAAUAUUAACAAUUAGCAAUUUGUUGUUUGUUGUGUUCAUUAAUUAAAUAUCUUCAUGUUCUACA
Molecule: long non-coding RNA, 822 nt
Organism: Pseudoliparis swirei
Lineage: Eukaryota; Metazoa; Chordata; Actinopteri; Perciformes; Liparidae
Exons: 2
Source: RefSeq, a predicted model, not a curated record